RNAcentral lists this long non-coding RNA (1588 nucleotides) under Homo sapiens (human). RNAcentral describes it as "HSALNT0354359". The record is from RNAcentral. Lineage: Eukaryota; Metazoa; Chordata; Mammalia; Primates; Hominidae.
UUUCUCCAUCCCUCUGCCAUACUUCUUGCUAAUGUUAUCUUCAUUUUCUUACUUCCCACUCACUGUUUAGCCCAUGUUAAUCUAAUUUCAGACAUAACUCUACCAGCCCGGUGCUCUCCAAGUUCACUGGUAAACUUCCUAAUUGGCUAAUUCAGUUGGCCCUUUCCAUUGGUAUCUUCUGGGCCUUUCUGCAGCAUAGACGCUGCUAAUCAACCUUCCUGAGUUUCUUACUGUCAUUAGCUUCCAUCCCACGAGCUCUCUCUGGAAUUCACUCUUGGUUCUUAUUCCUUCUUCACUUAUUUUUAAUCUCUUUUUUCUGUGAUGACCCCUUAAAUGCCAGAGUUUCUUAGGUUGUGUGCCUUGUCCUGCUCACUCUUGUUUCUACCCAGUCUCAUAGAGCUACCAUGCCGUCUAGAAGUUUCGCUUACCACCCGUCUGCGGCGGCCCUGUAGAUGUUUCUUAGUUUCGUUUGGUUUGGGUUUUUGUUUUUUUUUUCCUGAGACAGAUUCUCACUCUGUCACCCAGGCUAGAGUGCAGUGGUGCGAUCUCAGCUCACAGCAACAUCUGCUUCCAGGCUCAAGCGAGUCUCCUGCCUCAGCCUCCCGAGUAGCUGGGAAUACAGGCACAUAAGAAGACUACAUUUCCCAGCAUCCCUUGCAAUUGAGCUCACGUGAUUAGCUCUAGCCAAGAGGUGGCAAGCAGAAGAUACUUGAGUCUCUUCCUGGUGAAAUAGAAUGAAAGCACUGAACACAGAUGUGAAGUCUCUGUGCUUUUACUUCCGUCACUGUGGUGAAUUGGCAUCCAUAUGUUGAAAUGACAUCACAAGACAGAAACAAUUAGGGUCACUGAGUCACUGCAAGAAAGAGAGCUGCCCUGGAGAGUCAUCUAGAAUCACAGCAAUCUUCUGUAUAUUCAAGAAACAAAGCUUUGUUUGUACUGAGAUUGGAGGUUGUUAUUGCAGCAGAGUACAGCCUAUCCUAACCAAUACAGAAAAUAUAGUAGGCAAAAUAAGGGCACCCAAAAAAAUGCUCAUUUCCUAAUCUCCAGGACCUGUAAACAAGUUAUAUCAUAUGGCAAAGACAAAUCAAAGUUGCAGAUGGAAUUAAGGUUGCUAAUCAGCUAAUCUGGAGAUGGAGAGAUUGUUCUAGAUUAUCUGAGUAAACCCUAUGUAAUUACAAAGGAUCUUAAAAGCAGAAGAGAGAAUCAAAAGAAUCAGAAAGAUGGCAGUAUGAGUGGGACUUGGCCCAAUGUUGCUGGCUUUGAAGAUGAAGGAAUGAGGCCAUGAGUCAUCGAGUAUGGUAGCCUCUAUAAGCAGGAAAAGGCAAGGAAAUGGUUCUACCCUAGAAUGUUCAGAAAGGAAUGCACCCUACCAACACCAGUCUUUGCCUGGGUAAGGUAUAUGUUCCACUCCUAAGCUAUAGAACUAUAAAUAAUAAAUCUGUGUUGUUUUAAGCCACUAAGUUUGGGAUAAUUUGUUGCAGCACUAAUAGAAGACUAAUACAGAGGCAUUUGUAGACCUCAGGCUCAUUCAAGAAUUCUCAUCUGUUUCCCCAUAAUGCUCUAAAUAUAUUUUAUUAAUGUACUUCCC